GAGCACUGUGCAGAGCGAGUUGUUUCUUAGCUUCCCAAAGAGCUGGAAGCAAGAUGCUUUGGGGCCCUUCUCACCCUUUGGAAAGAAGGCAGCACUUUGUGCCUUGCAGCUCUAGGGCAAUGUAGCACACCCAGAGCAGAAGUUCUACUUCAGCCAGAUCAGGCCUGCAAAGAAACUGCGUUUCACAGGCCUUUGUAAGAGAUGUUCCCGGUAGGCUGUAAGAGCACUGUGCAGAGCGACUUGUUUCUUAGCUUCCCAGAGAGCUGGAAGCAAGAUGCUUUGGGGCCCAUCUGCCCCUAUGGAAAGAACGCAGCACUUUGUGCCUUGCAGCUCUAGGGCAAUGCAGCACACCCCGAGCAGAAGUUCUACUUCAGCCAGAUCAGGCCUGCAAAGAAACUGCGUUUCACAGGCCUUUGUAAGAGAUGUUCCCGGUAGGCUGUUAGAGCACUGUGCAGAGCGAGUUGUUUCUUAGCUUCCCAGAGAGCUGGAAGCAAGAUGCUUUGGGGCCCGUUAAUUUUAUACCCUGCUACUUUGCUGUAGUUGUUGAUUAUUUCUAAUAGUUUUUCUGUGGAUUCUUUGGGGUUUUCUAUGUAUAAGAUCAUGUCGUCUGCAAACAACGCGAGUUUUACUUCUUCGUUACCUAUUUGGAUUCCUUUUAUUUUUUUUUCCUGCCGAAUUGCUCUGGCCAGCACCUCCAGUACUAUGUUGAAUAGGAGUGGUGAAAGUGGGCACCCUUGUC
This 739-nucleotide long non-coding RNA is filed under the name Equus asinus (donkey). RNAcentral describes it as "lncRNA (ENSEASG00005032917.1)". Lineage: Eukaryota; Metazoa; Chordata; Mammalia; Perissodactyla; Equidae. The record is from RNAcentral.